Cygnus olor (mute swan) is the source of this 7333-nucleotide long non-coding RNA. RefSeq lists it as uncharacterized. The record is from RefSeq and is a predicted model, not a curated record. Lineage: Eukaryota; Metazoa; Chordata; Aves; Anseriformes; Anatidae. The transcript is spliced from 2 exons.
GGAGGGGGGGAGGGCGGGGUGCUCCUGAGGGAAAAGUGGAGGGAUUGCGUGCCACAUGAGUAACGGGAGUAGAGGGAACAGCCUCAGAUUGCACCAGGGGAGGUUCAGGUUGGGAAUGAGGAGACAUUUCUUCUCAGAAAGAGCAGUCAGGCAUUGGGACGGGUUGCCCAGGGAGGUGGUGGCCUCAGCGCCCCUGGGAGUGUUGAAGGAAAGGUUAGAGCUGGUGCUUGGGGACAUGGGUCAGUGGGUGACACUGGUGGUGGGGUGAUGGUUGGACCAGAUGGUCGGGGAGGGCUUUUCCAGCCUUAAUGGUUCUGUGAUGCUAUGUCAAAGAGCAGUGGAAGAGCACAGUCCCAGCGACGAACCAGAAGUGUAGUGAGAAAAGUACCAGAUAGUGACGACUAAAAGAUUUUUCUCAGUAAUGGCAAGGGACAAAUCAAUGUUAACAACAAUACGCAAAAAGUGUUUUACCUAUUUCAAGGUGCAGCGUGUGGAAAACGUGUCGCGGUCAUCCUGCUUAGUGGGCAAGUUUUGUAUAUGCACACUGCGCUUCUGCAGGCUUCUGAAAGUCACUGACCGCUAAAUACCGCGGCUUUUCUGCUGAGAUUGCAUCUUUUGGAUUUUCUGGAUUUAAGAGCAAUGCCAAAGGUUGGAUGGUAGCAAGCUGCAGUUUGCAUUUGUCACCCACCCCUCACUUGGAACCUCCAGUUAGAAGCUGAGUUGCACAAGAAGGGUGAGUGAGGUGCUGAACACCACUUUUUUAGGAAAUUAUUUUGCAAGUAUGAUUCUCAAAAAACUUUAUACCACUUCAAGAAAGGAAUUUUGUUUAACCAUAAAAGUGAAAGGCUUAUUAAUGACUGGAUAGGUGACUUUUGUGAGGGUGUACAUACUUCACAUUUGGUGAGAGUGUAAAAUCUUUACAUCAUGAAGAAGUAUUUACAUUUUCAAAUAAUUAAAAUGUAACAAGUAUAAUUAUCUAACUGUAGGGCCACUGAGUUGCUGCAGUUGCACAUGCCUCUGCAGGUAUAACUAAUUAAUCCGAGAGCCCCUCGGGCAGGUGUCCCUGAGAAGCAGCAGAACACUCCAUGCAUAGGGAGCAUUUGUAGUGCAGGGCAGAGGGAUGGAGUUGGGUGGGUUGCACCACCUCAGACACUAGGUGGGGACACAAAUAAGAACCUAGAGGAAAGAAAUGCUAUGUGUGGAUUAGGGAACCUUCCUGAGCCUUUCUUUAAAGUGAUUUUGAAAGGGUUCUCUCACAUCCAGCCUGCUUCCCAAAUUACUUGUAAUCGCAACGUUGCGUAAUGCGUGAGGUAGCUGCACAGUCCACCUCCAGAGCAUUUGCUAUUGCAAGUCUGAAACUUUUCAGAACACAUGGAUCCAAAUUUGAUGGAAAUCACAUCUAUUGCUCUUGGGGAAAUUUCAGCUAGUUUAGGAUAAAAUACACAAAACUUGAAUUUGGCAAUCAGUAUGGGAAACGAUGCAAGAGACUCGUUUACAUUUUAAGAGAUUGGUGAAUCACCACCCCCCUCUCAAAAAAAAAAAAAAGGCAAUAAAAAGCAGCAACAACAACAGACCAACAGUGCAGACUGACUUUGUACAGGAAAAUAUUUUUAUUAGUGAAUUAUUUUUAAUUGCACGGUCACUUGACACUAAUCAGUGGUUCAUUAACAGUUCAAAGUAUCAAUUUAAGCCAGGUUAAAAGGCAAAUAAUUUGACAAAACAUGGAGACAAGCUGUGGUGUACUUCCCAGUAUCUAUAAACCAAUACUGUAGGCUAUCAUAGCACACUUAAUGGUGCUAUUUCUGAGAGUAACUAAUUUGGAAACCCUAAGAAGGGCAAGGCUGUGCUGCAUACCUGUCUCUCUAACUAAUCUUACAGCUAGUGCAAAAAAAAGUUACAAGUUAGGUGUUAGAAAGAAGGAGAAUGUCAGUGUCCCCAUUUCAAGAUCCAUCUGAGGUCCUUUGUAAAUUGUGCAUGAUGUGCAAUAGUCCACUGUUUAGAAAUAGAUAUGUAUAUAUGUUGUUAGCUGUCAAGUGAUUUUAGGAAAAACGAAUGUAGCAGAUCAUUUAGUGUUGAAGCCAGUACAUACUGCAGCCAUCCUCUAGCAUUUCUUCUACCUCUGCUGCGCCUACGUCUGAGAAGCUUCACUGCUGCCAGCACAGUUUAUCAUCGCCAAUCCUUAGUCUAACUUAGAUUCGCAGUUAACUGGGGCAUGGGAUCUGAAUUAAGAAUAAACUUCAGUGUUAAGAAUUAUACAGAGCAGCACAGUUUAUUUUUAUACCUUUUACCAGUUUUAAAAGCAAACAACUGUCAGCAACAUACAGGUUUUCCUAUAGAGCUCUUUGGUUUACAGCACUAGUCUUAUCUGACAUUAAAAUUUCUCUUCAGAAGUGCAGAAACAGUUCAUUACAGUUGCAUGCAUCCCAUAUUAUGACUAGGCUCGUCUGCUUUAACAGUAAGACUGAAAAAUAAAAUUAAAAAAGCAGCAAAUGGUGCAGUCUUUGUGCCCUGUACUAAUUUUUAAUGCUUCUUAAUCAUCUCUUAAGCAAGACCCGCUUUCAACCUGACAAAUUUUAACAACCUGCUAACAUUGCAAAGUAGUCAAACAGUUACAAGCAAGAUAAAAAAUAAACCUUGCUAACAAGGGGCUGCCAGACAGUCAGGUCCCAACUCCAGCCCUGCAAGCCUAAACACAGAAGGCAGACACUGAACCAAAGGGAGGCUCGUACGUGUUAUGAUAACAAUGUAACUGCAUCGUUUUCAAGGCAUCCAAGAGACAACUUCAUUUACACCGGACCUCACAUCUAAAAUUUUCAGAUGUGAAUAGUGACUUUGCUCUUCUGUUCCAUAAUAAGAUAGCUUAAAGAGACUUAAGGUUCAGGUUUUGGAAAUUGGACCCUUUUAAGGGUUCUCGACUAUACACGAGAAUUAAGACUUCCAAAAUGAAGUCACAUUAACAUUGUGCACUGUUUAGUUUUUAUGCUUAUUGACAUCACUAGCCAAAAAUACCCAAACCCAAAACACUCUAAACGUGAGCAGGAUCAAGACUUCAAAUAGAGAUGGCACAUCAGUGACGUCGUAAGAGACGGCACAAGACCGAGCUGUAGAAACACUGAAGGGAUUGAAAUAAAUCCUUUCCGAGCUACAAUAAUAUUUCAUGACCCUUAACAUAAAAGUGGUUUGAUCAAUUUUUCACUAAAACUUCAUAUGUGUUCCUUGCCUCAGGGCUAAAUACAAGAAAUUGCAGCCCACACCAUUUUUUUUUUUCAGGGAAAAAGAAUGUCAUGGAGCUAAAUUAGAUCUUCAUAGGAGUUAGUUGCCAUCUUGACUCCCUUUGAGACAUCCAAAUGAGCUACUACAGGAUCAACUCAAAACAACUUGUCGAAUGUGCAGUUUUAAGGCACAAAUGAGCGUGAAAACAUGAGAACGUAACUUUAUUCUACCUCCAGAGGGAAAUGGUUUGCAUUACUGGCUAGGAAAAGGACACAGAGCUGCUUGAAUAAUACAGGACAACAAAACUCGUCUUGCUGUGAAAGGCAUGCUGCGUAUCAAAGUGCCUUAUUCGAUACUAAAUGAUUAUUCUCAUGCUUCAACAGAACUAAACUCCCAUCUCUGUACCACCGUCCUCAUCUGGACCUUGAAACAUAAGGGAUGGGCUUCUGUCUGCCCGGGCCCAGUGAGAUUAGGGGCAGUCACAGGUGGGAACACCCCAGUUCUGUCGUCUUCAGUAGCCAGUACGCAACAAUGCUCAAGUCCUUUCUUUGUAGAUGAUGUUCCACUACUUUUCCUUUUACAGUCAUCUUCUGCACACGUGAGUGAAAGAAAAGGCUUUCAGAUUAAAAUUGGUUGGAUCUGCUCAGGGAGGAGUCUUGGGUAAGGUGCAAGAGCAGCUUACUGACAUUUUACUUUAUACCACUCCAGACUUAACGAAACAUGAGGGCAGAGUUUGGCAGCUCUGCAGGGCUGUGAGUAGAUCUUCCCGAGUCCAACCUCAUGCCCAUGGAUUUUUCAGUGUGCUCAAAGGGUGGGGCUUGCUUGUUUUCUUGACUUUAAGCAAUCAUUUUCAGCGCACUAUCAUAAAUAACAUUGAGCCUGUCCACAGUUCAGGGAUGCAUUUUAUAGUAACAUUACUGCAUUAAUAAAAACUUCAGUAGUAGCCUUAUCAGUUGGGGGGUUAGGUAAUAGCCAGAUUUGCUUGUGUUUUCUGGUUAUCCUUCCAGUGCUUUUUCCUCACCUUUAACAGUUAAGACAUGCUCACAGCCAAAUAAAAUGCCUUAAGUCACUGCAAUAUAGUUUGGGUCCCCGUUUAAUUCUGUUCGCCGUUACUUACUUUUAAAAUAGUUUCAAUGUGGAAUGAAAGGAAGCUCAAAUAUGCUAGUUCUGGAUUAGCUGAGAACACUUGAGAAAUCUAAUUUUGCAUGCAGUGUCUAUUUCAAGCCAUAAAGCACAGUCAUUUGCUUUGUAGAAAGUGAUCCAAACCUACGGAAUAAAUCUAGUUUCAGGGUUUUUGUGCAGUCCCUAGACUUUGGUGUUUUAGGGAACCAAAAGGAGCAGAAGUGUAAAAGCCAGGAAAGUGUGGCUGGUCCUGGUUCAACAAGUUUGAGAGCCGAUGGCUGAUGAACCCUGGCCAGUUACUAGACACAGUAUGAAAUGGCACAACAGCUGGAGUGAACAAAAGACCGUAAAGCGGAAGUAUUUUAGUUUGUGCCCAUUUUAGACAUCAGAGGCCUUUAACACCCCUGAAGUCCUAUUAAUUAUAAUCGGUGAGGCACAUGUUAGCAUAUCCAGAUCAAAAACCUUAACAGCCCCUACUUAACAGGAAGGAAAGCAUGCCCAGAAAGAGGAAACUGUCUGUAGUAAGAGUAGGUAAGAGUCGUAUUCAGGAUUAGAAUAUAACUGACUUACUAAACGCUUUUUCUUUUUUCUUCUGGAGUAACUUCACUCAAAUUUACAACAUAGUUGUUAAGAAAUAUUGCCUGUGACUUGUUCCUAAUCCGCCCGUUCCUCUCCUCCUUUUGUUUGGCUCGCUUACGUUUUCCAUGCUUACCUCUCUCGUCUUUGUUUUCUUCUCUUUGGUCAUUACGGGGAAAGUUUAUUAAACGAAGCAAGUCAUGCAGCAUCCUUUGGAAAUAUUUAGAUUUGGUGUUAUAUUUAGCUCUGUUCUUAGGUCGUUCAGAAUAGAUGAAAACUCUCCGUUAUUCAUUCUUCUUCUACAUCUAUGGAACAACGUCCUGGAAAUGUUUAGCCACAGGAAGCAGCUGCCUUUCUGGGUUUAAACGCCUGUCAUUACAGACAUUUGAUUUGUUAACUACUUUUACAGGAUUAAAACAGUAAUCUUGAGCUAGUGCUGGAAUAUUGACAAGCAGCAGUGAUGGAGCCUGGGCAAUGGUUGUGUUAUCACCUCUGUGCUGUUGACAGGAGCAGAAUAUUUUAAUUUGCAUAACCUGGGGGUGAUAGAGGCACUGGUUUGGGGUGCAGUAAGCUACAGCAAUCCCACCUCAGGAGGAAGAAAUACAUCCUGUCAGGCAUGACUCUUCAUUCUAGUAGUAGCAAAUGAACUUGAACGCCAAGAAACAGCCAUCCUUUUAGCAAAAUCGACUGAGCAAAGUGAAUCUGCUUAUCUGUUGAUAAGUAGAUCUGUGUUUUGGCUAGGGGCUUGAAGUUGAACAUUUUCCCUCUACUUCAAGAGAGCAUCCAAGCGUAAGUGUACCUUCAGUCAUGUAAAUACUUGUCACUAUGGCAUUUUGCAGGAUCAAGUCCCAUAUGCCUCCUUCAUUAGGCUGCAUCCAUCCCAGAUGGAUCAGUUUUCUUCUGCAUAUUUUGAUUAAUCACAUGAAUGAUCUGAACAUGCAUAGGACUGUUACUACCACUUCACAUGUUUACAUUUGGUUGUUGAGUGGUAGAAAUUUCAAUACAAGAUGAAAAUUAAUGCCUCUAAUUUCUUUCCCUCUGUAAAAUAUAUUUUAAAAUAUAACAUUUACCUCAAGUUUCCACUUACGGAAGUUACAAAUACAUGUUUUACAAAACUACAGCUGUAAAGGAAGGGAACACGUUAUUACUUGCUAAGAAUAAAAAAAUAAAAAAACAGGAACAGCACCUCGUGGUCUCUGAUCAAUUUCUUCCUAGUUUUACUUAUAUAGGGAAAUAUUUAAAAAAUGGAGGCUGGCAUAAAUAAAUGCUUCAAGAAGAGGAACAGAGAUAGCAAUUCUUUGAGAAAAUCUAGUAUUUUUGUUAAUAACAAGUUAUUUUCUCACGUUAAAGGGAUCCAAACCAUCGAUGUGUUCCUCAAGGUUUCAGAAGAAUCCUAGAAGUUUAAACAAGUGCACUGAAAAAGUUUGUUUGUAAACAUUUAUUUUCUUGAACUGAAAAAGGCUUGCAUCAGCACACAUUGUACAGCCUUGCAAAUUACACAAAUUGAAAAAAAUGUUUGUUUCAUUUUUAUGUGCAAUUAAUCUUUAAUGUCCAGUGAGCAUCUGCAAAUGAUGAAAACUUAAACCAUUAAAAAGGUUUCCAGCACUUAUCAAAUACAAUUAUCUUAGCGUGAAAAGGAAGAGAAAGAUUCAUACUGGUGGGAACACAAUUAAAGUGCAAACAUUUUGUCACUUGUGAAGAUACAUUUUAGUUUCUUCACCUUUUUGUUAAAAAGAAAUAUUAAAAUGUGAUUCAGUGAACAUUCUUUGUAAUCUAUUCAUAUUCCCCCUUAAAUACUUAUUAAACUUGUUGGAUCAGAAGCAAAUCCUUCAAGGGUACAAACAAUUUGUAAUUUCUUUUGACAUUGUUUGAAUGAAUCUCAAAAGAAAACAACCAUCUAAGGAGUUAGCUAGUUACUAAAAUUAUAUUUUUUUCUUUAAAAAACAAAAAAAAGAAAAACGCAAGGGAAAAGGAACAGGUUAAUUUGAAGAUUUGGGGUACUUCGCUAGAAAAUGAGUGUAAUUCCUUGGACAUGGUUCUCUUUUCCCCUCCACCAAUCCUCAGGCUCCUGCUUUGGAACGGACAACUGCGUGCUGGCUGUGAAAAGGGAUUAUAAAAUACAAAUCUGAAUGUGGGAUUUUAUGAAUGUCUGCUGUACAAUAGAACUUUGGAUCUGAUACAAGAAUUCAAAAAUAUAAAACAAAACUAUUAUAAAAGUAGGGGGCAUUUCAGCGGCAUUCCUUAUAGAAAGCUGCCUGUCUCAAAGGUGAUUCCUUGCUAUUGUCUGGGAUCAACUCUAUUUUUUUCUUCAUCUCGCUGGAUCACUGGGUUAUUCUUCAAUGGUUACUGUCACACGACAAAACAUCCCAGGAGUCUCUCUAAAUAGAGCAGAAACCCCGUAACAUCAAGCCAAUCGAGGAGA